This 521-nucleotide long non-coding RNA is filed under the name Pan troglodytes (chimpanzee). RNAcentral's name for it is "lincRNA". Lineage: Eukaryota; Metazoa; Chordata; Mammalia; Primates; Hominidae. The record is from RNAcentral.
GGGGUCAGCCAAGCCAGUGGGAAGCCUACGACAUUCCCCUGGGUCACUUAGUGAACUCCUACUCUUUCAUCAGGCCUCACUUGAACAUGACUUCCUCCAGAAGCCUUCCCAGACAUCUUUGAGCUAGAAAGUCAGAAGAGUAGAAUUGGAACCCAGCUCAGUCUGAUGCCACAUCCUUUGUUGUUUCCAUUAAAUCAGAGAAUUUCUUAGUGCUGAGAAACUAUUCUGGAACCUACAACAAAGGCAAGUGGGAAAGGAGUCGCCUGGAAUUUGAUCUCUGUAGAUGCCUUUUUCAUUUAGUUUAUUUUUCAUUUUUAUCUGUUGCUUUGCUCUUAUCAAAUACAGAUAAAUAGCAGCUGGUACUGGUGCUGUUGAUUGCGAUUUCUGUUUGAAAAUGGAAUCUUGAGCAUCUGUUCUCUCCCUUUAUAUUUUACUGUGAGAGAAAAUCUAUUUUUUUCAAGAGGUAAUUCAUACACAUGGUAAAAAUUUAAACAAUAUAAAAACCUAUUUUUAAAAAACAU